Molecule: ribosomal RNA, 251 nt
Filed under: uncultured bacterium
Lineage: Bacteria
Description: partial 16S ribosomal RNA
Rfam family: Bacterial small subunit ribosomal RNA
Source: RNAcentral
CGAAGGGUGCAAGCGUUACUCGGAAUUACUGGGCGUAAAGGGCGCGCAGGCGGUUGGUCGCGUCGGGCGUGAAAGCCCCCCGCUUAACGGGGGAGGGUCGUCCGAAACGGGCCAACUGGAGGCAGGGAGAGGUCGGUGGAAUUCCCGGUGUAGUGGUGAAAUGCGUAGAUAUCGGGAGGAACACCAGUGGCGAAGGCGGCCGACUGGACCUGACCUGACGCUGAGGCGCGAAGGCGUGGGGAGCGAACGGG